CUAAAGGCUCUUUUCAGAGCCACCUAUAGUUUCCCUAGAUAACUGU
Molecule: non-coding RNA, 46 nt
Organism: Sarcophilus harrisii (Tasmanian devil)
Lineage: Eukaryota; Metazoa; Chordata; Mammalia; Dasyuromorphia; Dasyuridae
Source: Rfam